RNAcentral lists this unclassified non-coding RNA (253 nucleotides) under uncultured Alphaproteobacteria bacterium. RNAcentral describes it as "contains 16S-23S intergenic spacer region". It matches the Rfam family "Bacterial small subunit ribosomal RNA", at positions 524 to 776 of the family's 1533-position model. The record is from RNAcentral. Lineage: Bacteria; Pseudomonadati; Pseudomonadota; Alphaproteobacteria.
UACGGAGGGGGCUAGCGUUGUUCGGAAUCACUGGGCGUAAAGCGCGCGUAGGUGGACGAUUAAGUCGGGGGUGAAAGCCUGGAGCUCAACUCCAGAACUGCCUUCGAUACUGGUCGUCUUGAGUCCGGGAGAGGUGAGUGGAAUUCCCAGUGUAGAGGUGAAAUUCGUAGAUAUUGGGAAGAACACCAGUGGCGAAGGCGGCUCACUGGCCCGGUACUGACGCUGAGGCGCGAAAGCGUGGGGAGCAAACAGG